Molecule: ribosomal RNA, 930 nt
Filed under: uncultured bacterium
Lineage: Bacteria
Description: bacterial SSU rRNA
Rfam family: Bacterial small subunit ribosomal RNA
Source: RNAcentral
AGAGUUUGAUCAUGGCUCAGAACGAACGCUGGCGGCGUGCCUAACACAUGCAAGUCGAACGGAUUUGAGGGGCUUGCUCCUCAAGUUAGUGGCGCACGGGUGAGUAACGCGUAGAUAAUCUGCCUGAUGAUCCGGGAUAACACUUCGAAAGGGGUGCUAAUACCGGAUAAGCCCACGGGGUCUUUGGAUUCUGCGGGAAAAGGGGGGGACCUUCGGGCCUUCUGUCAUCAGAUGAGUCUGCGUACCAUUAGCUAGUUGGUAGGGUAAUGGCCUACCAAGGCUACGAUGGUUAGCUGGUUUGAGAGAAUGAUCAGCCACACUGGAACUGAGACACGGUCCAGACUCCUACGGGAGGCAGCAGUGGGGAAUUUUGCGCAAUGGGCGAAAGCCUGACGCAGCAACGCCGCGUGAGUGAUGAAGGCUUUCGGGUCGUAAAGCUCUGUCGAGGGGAAAGAAGUGUAUUGUGGCUAAUAUCCACGAUACUUGACGGUACCCCUAAAGGAAGCACCGGCUAACUCCGUGCCAGCAGCCGCGGUAAUACGGGGGGUGCAAGCGUUGUUCGGAAUUAUUGGGCGUAAAGAGCGUGUAGGCGGUUUGUUAAGUCUGAUGUGAAAGCCCUGGGCCUAAUCUAGGAAGUGCAUUGGAAACUGGCAGACUUGAAUACGGGAGAGGGCAGUGGAAUUCCUAGUGUAGGAGUGAAAUCUCGUAGAUAUUAGGAGGAACAUCGGUGGCGAAGGCGGCUGCCUGGACCGAUAUUGACGCUGAGACGCGAAAGCGUGGGUAGCAAACAGGAUUAGAUACCCUGGUAGUCUACGCUGUAAACGAUGAGAACUAGGUGUUGCGGGUAUUGACCUCUGCAGUGUUGCAGCUAACGCAUUAAGCUUCUUCUGCCUGGGAAGUACGGUCGCAGACUAAAACUCAAAGGAAUUG